Apis cerana (Asiatic honeybee) is the source of this 6331-nucleotide RNA transcript. It is a transcript of the gene named centrosomal and chromosomal factor, with no coding region annotated. Lineage: Eukaryota; Metazoa; Arthropoda; Insecta; Hymenoptera; Apidae. The record is from RefSeq and is a predicted model, not a curated record.
AGAGGGCGUUGCAGAAUGUCACGAGUAGACACGAGGAUUCGACAGGACUUGGCUUUCAGUCGCAGCUCGGCAGUCUGUACGAGACGAGCGAGAUACGUGUAGUAAAGUGUGUAGUUUGUAUACAUAUACGUGCACGGUGCAUGUAUAUCACUACUCAUAGACAUACUCUCGCGUGUGUAAAGGUAACCGAUACGCCGGACGAGUUGACACACGCGCAGCAAUGGCGUACCCCUUUGAAGAAGCCUGAACGUGUUCUGUCGUUUAAUUUUUCUUUGUGCAGCUGUGUUUAAAGUGUGUGAAAAAGACAAAUAAUUUGAGUAAAAUUUCUUAUAUAUAAGGCAAUGAUAGAAUUGCAAAACAACGUCAGUAUAUUAAAGUGUUUCAAUCUUGUCGAAACGAAGAAACGAGACGUUACGCCCAGCCUGUUCAGAUCCAAGCCCCCAUUGCUUGCUCUGAUAUAUAAAUCUACUCUUCGUUCUCAUGAAUGUCUCUGAAUUUUGUAAAUAAAAAAUCUGAUUAAAAGUGGAAGUGUGGCAUUCUAACGUUUAAUUGCAAAUAUAAUACAUACAUGUAGCAAUCGAGAUAUUACGUGCGAAGGAUUUGUGAAAGAGUGAAGUGGAUUACUAUAUGUAUCGAGAAUUCGAAAGGGAAAAGACGAAAAAAAUACGUUUAUAUAGAGAAGAAAAGAUUUUGGAAUAGAAACGAGAGAUUAGAGAGAAACAAAUAGAAACGGAAAAUCAUAGAAGGCAAAGAUCGAUGUUGCAAGGAAGCCGGUAUCCAACAAAUCAGGGCCGGUGGUGUUCGAAUUCGUAGUCAGUUGUAAGCUCUUUACGACUUUUUUUUCCUUCUCUCUCUCGAAAUAUGCGAUAACGCUCUUUUGCUCAUGUACAUUGGGGGCUUCUGCCUCGAGGGCUUUCCUUGGUGUUGGAUAUAAUAGCUGAUUGGUCCAACCCUUGGAUAAGGCAACCCUCUCUCGCAGCGAUGAAUCGUACCAUUUUUUUUCAUCUCAUUUCAAGAUUUGCCCAUAAAAAUUGUGAAAAGUAGCACAAUUAUUAAGAGGAUCGUAUUGUCAAUACAAAGAAAAGAGAGAUAUUAAGAAACGUAUUAAGAAAAGAAGGAUAAAAACAAGGAAAGAAAAAGAAAAAAAAAGAGAAAUAAAAGAAAGAGGUUAGUCAAGAAAACAAAAAAAAAAAAGUGCUGGAGAAUCGCGAAUUCGCGUCUCCGGCUGUGUGGUGAAAGAUCGGGUAAUCUCAACGCUGGGCGAGACGGAGAGCAGUGGAUCGUGGUCGUCAUCGGGGAGAAUAAUCACGAGGAUCCCACGAAAUGAGAGGCUAGCGUUCGAGGUGGGUCGUUGGUCAGCGGGCGUGCAAGAAGGGACGGUUCGGCGGCGGAAGCCUGGAUAGUAGGAGGUUUCCAACAUGGCCGCUGCCUGCUACGAGAAGGAAGUGGUGGUAGGUGCCGCUAUGCAUGGACACGGUCAUCACCAUCACCACCACCAUCAUCAUCACCAUCACCAUCACCAUCAUGGAAUCGGCGGCGGGUCUACCGGCGGUGGCGGCGGCCCGGCUGCCUCGGGUGCCGCGACGGGACCGAGCGGACAGCAAACCGUCCUACCGGCCGCAUCGACCGGCAUCCUCGACACCACCGUCACUGCUGCUGCCGUCGGCUCCGGUACGACCGCAAAUACAAAUACGACGACCGCCACCGCGACCGCAGCAGCUGUCGCAGCUGCGGCGGCAGCCGCUGCGGUUGCAGUCACCACCUACAAGGACUACAAGGAUUACUCGCAACCUCUCCACGUUGACUGCAGUGUCGAGUACGAGCUGCCGAGCCAAGCAAAACCACCACCCGGUGGCGGUGAACCUCUUCUCAUGAUACACCCAUGCUAUUAUCGACGAGCUGAACGUGAAAGGAGAAGUCCUUUCGUCAACAAUCUACCACCACCAGCAAACGCGCCUAUUUCGUCGAGGCGAAGCAGCAGACGAAGUGCCUCGGCCGCUGUCGUUGCCACCGCGACCGCAGCCGCUGCCGUUUCCUCAACCUCGUCCGUUGUUGCACCCUCUUCUACGGCUGCCGCCGUUUCUACCUCGACUGUGUCAUCUUCCAGUUCCGCUGUCGCAGCCGCAGCAGCAGUCUUAUCGGCAACUGUUGUCGCAACAAGCGAUUCAGGAUCGAAUCUCGUUUCCACAACCAGUCAAAUGUCUGCUGCGGCUAUGGCAGCUUCCUAUCGUGCGGCUCUCAAUGCUGCUGCAACUUUGUCGCAACAACAACAACAACAACAGCAACAAAGACGUCAACACCACCCGCAACAGCAACAACAAUCACAAGCACCACCACCGCCACAGCAGCAACAACAAAGUCAUCAUCAUCUUCAUCGAUCUCAUGCUCAUCCCCUCCACAAUCAACAACAACCGCAACAACAACAGCAACAGCAGCAGCAGCAGCAGCAGCAGCAAGUAAGCUCGGUGUCGUCAACCUCUUCCGCCACCGAACUAAUCUCUGCUGAUGAAAAAGCAGUCAUAUCAGGUAUUUAUCAACACUACUUCCGCGCAAUGCGCGCUCACAAUCAUCAGCAUCGACAGCAACAGCAGCAACCGCAGCAGCAACAAGCAACACAGCAACAUCGAACGACUCAUCAGAUUCAUCAUCAACCUCACCAAAGCGACCGAAGUUCCUCCUCGUCGGUGACACCAACGGUUACGUCAAUAUCCGGCAUAUUACGGCAGACUUAUCAACAGACGUAUAAUGCGACGAAUUCGAGUUCGUCAAGUCAUCUACGGGCAACAACGGCCUCAGUGGUCGGGCAUCAUCCAUAUAGGCGACCGUCGACGACGUUACGUGCAACGUCGCACAUUGGUCAACAGGCUUCUUCCUCUUCUUCCUCGUCCUCUUCCUCCUCGACGUCGAUCGGUGCUUCCAGCAGCGUUUCUUCUGGUGGCGUUUCCAGUGUAUACGCGAGCACAAUACACAGGCAUCAUGCCACCUCGCUACACGCCCUUCAAGCGGCUGGUUUUUACGAAACGCCUGGUUAUCAUGCGCUUUUGCCGCAGAGUUAGGUGUCUACCAGCAACGUGGUGAACCCGCCCGAGACCGACCCUAUUGCCAACCUUCAUUUAUUCACCUAAUCCGGCUACAAAGCUGUGUGCUCUCUCUUCCCUAUUGUACGACUUAUCUUCCAUACUCGUUAAAGCGCAUACGGGUUGGUCUAACUCUGCCUAGUACACUCGGGAUACAUCUAUCUCUGCGACAUACACGCUACUUCUCCCUACGUGUAUUCACUGUAUAUACGUAAAUAUGUAUGCAUACGUAUAUACGUGUAUGUAUGUAUGUAUCGUCGUCGACGCAACGAUCGUACGUGCCGUGCUCUCCGUGUUGGCAGUAGUGUGCGGGUGGCCGGACGGACGGACGGACGAGCAGAAAGCCACAGAAUAAACACACGACGCAUACAUACCACCACCAUCACCACUAUUAUACACAGAUACACAUUCAACCAGAGACAGAUGGAUGGAACCACGAACAACUGAAAUGGUCGUCUAUGUAGGCAUCGACCAAUUUCAUCCACCUGCGAUACGUGUGCGCUUCUCAGCCGAGACCCCGAAUUACAAUGUGUGCUCCCCGUGCGCGCUUCACCGUGGGUGGACCACCUCGGCUCUGCGCGAAUUUUUCUUCAAUCGUCUACCCUCUCUCGAUGAAUGAUCUCUUUCUACGGCGGGCCAGCCCGAACGGCAGCCUUCAAACGGAUGGAUGGACAGAGGGAGGGAGUGGAGACGAGGUAGAGAGGACUGCUGUCAGCCGGCGAAUGAAAAGCGCUUAAGAAGCUGCGCGGCAUGCACCUAACAAUGACCUUACCUACCUCUGACGCACCAAUUGUUCGUAUACCAAAGUACACCGGCUGAUUCGGCAAAUAUAACGUACGUUAUUUUACGCUAUUCUUCGUACGCGCCUCGUUCUACGCCCGGUUUAUAUACCAAAGCACGCUCCAUGCCAGCCGGGAACACGACUACUUCUUUAUCCUUAUGAUUCGUUUCGAGUUACCGAGAAUCUUUUUCAAUCCCGUUUCGACCGAAGAUCAUUUCUUUCCCAUUUUUUUCCACUUCAAUUAUUCACGCUCGGUAAUUACGAGGCGGUCACCUCUACGCCGAAUCGCUUCAGCAGAAUAUUCUUUGGAAUACGUGAUACGGUUGCGUCGAAUCUCCGAUGGAAACGUAUGGUCGUAUGGGGUUGUGGUUUUUCGAUAGUUAAACUCGAAGGGGAGAUAACGGGAUAAGUGAACAGAUAGAGCGUAACGCGCGAGAAAGAAGGAAUCGGAGAGAGGGUGAAAGAGGACGACUCGAUCCUGGAAGCGAGCGCGCCGCGUGGCUGCGAGAAGGAAAGAUAUAUCCACGAACGUCGGGAUAUUAUAGGUUACCCUGUCUAUCUACCGAAUAGUCCGAACGAUAGUUCGAAACGACGAUGGACCACGCCCUCGGCCUGCCAUCUCCACUUCGACCAACUCUAGACGAUCGAUCCUUUCCUCGCGACAAGCUGGCAAAAAUUACCACACCGCAAAAGUCGAGCACGAAACGGGACAACUGAAUACGCCCCUGGAGCGACCCGAGGCCUGCCUCUCCGGCCAAUCGAUACCAUACCGUGUGUCUCUUCCGUUUGACAGCCUUUGCGACGUUUCUCUCCCUGCUUAUUUCGUUCUUUUUCCUAUUUUUACCAUCUCUCUCUCUCUCUCCCUUCCUCUCCCUCUAUCCUUUCGAUUCUUCCUUCUCGAAACGACAUUUUUCCUUUCUCCUCGAACCGGAACAAGGGGAUGGAUUCGUAUCGCAAGUAAAGCGAAACGAAGCAUGCCUCUCGACGGUCGAUCGCAUUCCUUCGAACGAAAAAAAAAGAAAAAAGAAAAGAAAGAAGAAAAAUAAACGAGCGUGUUAAUCGCUUAUACGACACAUCGGCGUGGCGAACGAUCGAUUGGCCCGAGACAGUCUGAUGUGCACGGGCCCAUGGUUGGUUCCACGUGCCGUCCGCUUGCUCGCUUCCUACCGAUUUCUGAUCUCCACCGUUUCCGCGAAAAGCGUGUGUAACUUAACGAGCAAUUGUUCUCCUUCUAGUUCCUUGCUUUUCGUGAUUAAUCGAAAGUUUCCAAUUGCCGCGCCACUACCGUGUAUCUGCCUGUUAGUUGGCGCGUUCGUUAAGAGCGGCGUAUGCAUAUAUGUGUGUGUGUUUACUUUGCUCGAUCGUUCAUUAAAAUUCGAGCCGAUGCGCGUGUUAUUUCUUCCCGUCACGGUGUUGUAUUGGACUUUGGAGAGAGCUUUUACGAGGAACAGAGCGUAUGCGUGUGCGUAUGUUUACAUGUGCGCCGCGUGUCUACCUUUUGCGAAACGCGCGCCGCGUGUCGCCUUGUUUAUCCAUCGCCGCCAUCGCCGUCGUCGACGCUCUGGUGUGGCGUUGACGAUCCUUUUCCUCGGUUCUCGAAAACGACUACCACGGAAUCUUCGUUUUUUGAGGGGUGAAGCUAGCUAAUCAACUACUACUGUAUUAUCGAUCAGAGAGGGAGGAGAAAAAAAAGGAAAAAAAAAAAAACAGAACAUACCUACGCAUUUAAGAUAAUGUACAAGUCUCUAGUGUGAUACAUUUCUACGCUUAUUCUCUUAACUGUAGUCAUGAAGUCUAAAGUAACGAUACCUCGUUGUGGUUUGUAACGCGGAUUAAAAAAGCAAAAAAAAUAAAAUAAAAAAAGUAGUUCUGUAAUAACAAUAAUAAAGAAAAAAAAAACGAGCAAAAGAAAGCAAAAGAUUAAAAAAAAAAAAAAAAAAAAUGAAUAAGUAAAGGAAUAAAGAAGAAAAAUAACGACGUAAUGAUAAAAAAAAAUCCGCUUAGGCUGACCUUAAACUGAUAAAAAAAAGCGAUAAAAAGCUCGCAAAAGGCGCCAAUGUACUCGUAGAAUGGAAUUGUCCGGCGGCAGACGUCCUAAUUAAUCGCAACAUUUGAAAUUGUAAACGACCGCCAAAAAAAAAAAAUAAAUAAAAUACCGUUCGACUUGUAAGAAAUACUGGAUAAUAAAAAUGAAAACCCAGAGCGUGAGAGAGAGAGAAAGAAAGAAAGAAAGAAAGAACGAGAUAUUUGCGGAUCCAAGAAAUGGAUGAGACGGAUGCGUGGAUCCAGAUGAAUGGAUGACUAUUUGAAAAACACGUGUGGGUUGAUCGAUUCGUCAAACGUAUGUAUGUGUGAAUUUACGCGCAGAGUAUUCGAGGAUGUAGUGUUCGGCAUGUACAUAAUUCUGUAUAUACGAACGAAUCACUGACUGUACAAUACCACCCAAAUAUAUUUAUAUUUCAUGUUAAAACAA